GACGAACGCUGGCGGCGUGCUUAACACAUGCAAGUCGUACGGUAAGGCCCUUUCGGGGGUACACGAGUGGCGAACGGGUGAGUAACACGUGAGUAACCUGCCCACAACUUUGGGAUAACGCUAGGAAACUGGUGCUAAUACUGGAUAUGUGCUCCUGCUGCAUGGUGGGGGUUGGAAAGCUCCGGCGGUUGUGGAUGGACUCGCGGCCUAUCUGCUUGUUGGUGGGGUAGUGGCCUACCAAGGCGGCGACGGGUAGCCGGCCUGAGAGGGUGACCGGCCACAUUGGGACUGAGAUACGGCCCAGACUCCUACGGGAGGCAGCAGUGGGGAAUAUUGCACAAUGGGCGCAAGCCUGAUGCAGCAACGCCGCGUGCGGGAUGACGGCCUUCGGGUUGUAAACCGCUUUCAGCAGGGACGAAGCUUUUUGUGACGGUACCUGCAGAAGAAGCACCGGCUAACUACGUG
RNAcentral lists this ribosomal RNA (465 nucleotides) under uncultured bacterium. RNAcentral describes it as "partial 16S ribosomal RNA". It matches the Rfam family "Bacterial small subunit ribosomal RNA", at positions 28 to 507 of the family's 1533-position model. The record is from RNAcentral.